This 264-nucleotide ribosomal RNA is filed under the name uncultured bacterium. RNAcentral's name for it is "partial 16S ribosomal RNA". It matches the Rfam family "Bacterial small subunit ribosomal RNA", at positions 89 to 353 of the family's 1533-position model. The record is from RNAcentral.
UGGCGACCGGCGCACGGGUGAGUAACACGUAUCCAACCUGCCGAUGACUCGGGGAUAGCCUUUCGAAAGAAAGAUUAAUACCCGAUGGCAUAGUUCUUCCGCAUGGUGGAACUAUUAAAGAAUUUCGGUCAUCGAUGGGGAUGCGUUCCAUUAGGUUGUUGCGGGGUAACGGCCCACCAAGCCUUCGAUGGAUAGGGGUUCUGAGAGGAAGGUCCCCCACAUUGGAACUGAGACACGGUCCAAACUCCUACGGGAGGCAGCAUG